This 250-nucleotide ribosomal RNA is filed under the name uncultured prokaryote. Its description in RNAcentral is "partial 16S ribosomal RNA". It matches the Rfam family "Bacterial small subunit ribosomal RNA", at positions 524 to 773 of the family's 1533-position model. The record is from RNAcentral.
UACGUAGGUGGCAAGCGUUGUCCGGAUUUACUGGGUGUAAAGGGAGCGUAGGCGGCAAAGCAAGUCAGACGUGAAAUCCCUCGGCUCAACUGCGGGCGUGCUUUUGAAACUGCUUAGCUAGAGUACUGGAGGGGCAAGCGGAAUUCCUGGUGUAGCGGUGAAAUGCGUAGAUAUCAGGAAGAACACCGGAGGCGAAGGCGGCUUGCUGGACAGAUACUGACGCUGAGGCUCGAAGGCGUGGGGAGCAAAC